GACGAACGCUGGCGGCGUGCUUAACACAUGCAAGUCGAACGGAAAGGCCCUGCUUUUGUGGGGUGCUCGAGUGGCGAACGGGUGAGUAACACGUGAGUAACCUGCCCUUGACUUUGGGAUAACUUCAGGAAACUAGGGCUAAUACCGGAUAGGAGCUCCUGCUGCAUGGUGGGGGUUGGAAAGUUUCGGCGGUUGGGGAUGGACUCGCGGCUUAUCAGCUUGUUGGUGGGGUAGUGGCUUACCAAGGCUUUGACGGGUAGCCGGCCUGAGAGGGUGACCGGCGACAUGGGGACUGAGAUACGGCCCAGACUCGUACGGGAGGCAGCGGGGGGGAAUAUUGCACAAUGGGCGGAAGCCUGAUGCAGCAACGCCGCGUGCGGGAUGACGGCCUUCGGGGUGUAAACCGAUUUGGCCUGUGACGAAGCGUGAGUGACGGUAAUGGGUAAAGAAGCACCGGCUAACUACGUG
This 468-nucleotide ribosomal RNA is filed under the name uncultured bacterium. RNAcentral's name for it is "partial 16S ribosomal RNA". It matches the Rfam family "Bacterial small subunit ribosomal RNA", at positions 28 to 507 of the family's 1533-position model. The record is from RNAcentral.